RNAcentral lists this long non-coding RNA (459 nucleotides) under Dermacentor andersoni. RNAcentral's name for it is "uncharacterized LOC126524577". The record is from RNAcentral. Lineage: Eukaryota; Metazoa; Arthropoda; Arachnida; Ixodida; Ixodidae.
CUCGCGUGUGUUCUUCUUGAGUUCCUCGUAAGUCGCAAAGAACACGUUCGGCUCUUCCCUGAGAGCGUAUCCCGCGCCUACGUGUUCGAAAUAGUCGCCGUAGCCGAAGUUGCCACUUACAAAAGUGUCGACUAGGUCUUCAAAUGUUCCGUCUUGGAAUUCGAAGGAGCUAACGUUGAUCGCCAUGUUGUAGAAGGAGACGCAGACAUCCCAUGGAUUGCGGGCGAGGUAGACGUACUUUCCUUCUCCGCUCAUUACACGCUUGUCCAACGGCAGGUGUGUAGCGAAUGUUCUCAGUGGUAGAGACGAGGUCCAGUCCUUGAUGUCCAUGUACUCCAGGAAGCGCCAUUCUUUGGAGAACUCCUCGUACGAGGUGAUCGGUUGUCCCUCCCUGAGUAUGAGGUGCGUGAUGUACAUCAACCAAUGCGUUCCACUCUUCGGGAACGUUGACUGCACGAC